AUUGAACGCUGGCGGCAUGCCUUACACAUGCAAGUCGAACGGCAGCACGGGUGCUUGCACCUGGUGGCGAGUGGCGAACGGGUGAGUAAUAUAUCGGAACGUACCUUAUCGUGGGGGAUAACGCAGCGAAAAGCUGCGCUAAUACCGCAUACGCCCUGAGGGGGAAAGCGGGGGACCGUAAGGCCUCGCGCGAUUAGAGCGGCCGAUAUCUGAUUAGCUUGUUGGUGGGGUAAAAGCCCACCAAGGCGACGAUCAGUAGCUGGUCUGAGAGGACGAUCAGCCACACUGGGACUGAGACACGGCCCAGACUCCUACGGGAGGCAGCAGUGGGGAAUUUUGGACAAUGGGGGGCAACCCUGAUCCAGCAAUGCCGCGUGAGUGAAGAAGGCCU
RNAcentral lists this ribosomal RNA (391 nucleotides) under uncultured bacterium. RNAcentral's name for it is "bacterial SSU rRNA". It matches the Rfam family "Bacterial small subunit ribosomal RNA", at positions 29 to 417 of the family's 1533-position model. The record is from RNAcentral.